CCUACGGGUGGCAGCAGUGGGGAAUAUUGGACAAUGGGCGAAAGCCUGAUCCAGCCAUGCCGCGUGUGUGAAGAAGGCCUUCGGGUUGUAAAGCACUUUCAGUGGGGAAGAAAGCCUUGGGGCUAAUACCCUCGAGGAAGGACAUCACCCACAGAAGAAGCACCGGCUAACUCCGUGCCAGCAGCCGCGGUAAUACGGAGGGUGCGAGGCGUUAAUCGGAAUUACUGGGCGGAAAGCGCGCGUAGGCGGUCUGAUAAGCCGGUUGUGAAAGCCCCGGGCUCAACCUGGGAGCGGCAUCCGGAACUGUCAGGCUAGAGUGCAGGAGAGGAAGGUAGAAUUCCCGGUGUAGCGGUGAAAUGCGUAGAGAUCGGGAGGAAUACCAGUGGCGAAGGCGGCCUUCUGGACUGACACUGACGCUGAGGUGCGAAAGCGUGGGUAGCAAACAGGAUUAGAUACCCUAGUAGUC
This 466-nucleotide ribosomal RNA is filed under the name Vreelandella stevensii. RNAcentral describes it as "partial 16S ribosomal RNA". It matches the Rfam family "Bacterial small subunit ribosomal RNA", at positions 338 to 795 of the family's 1533-position model. Lineage: Bacteria; Pseudomonadati; Pseudomonadota; Gammaproteobacteria; Oceanospirillales; Halomonadaceae. The record is from RNAcentral.